Long non-coding RNA from Alligator sinensis (Chinese alligator), 2978 nucleotides. RefSeq lists it as uncharacterized. The transcript has 3 exons. Lineage: Eukaryota; Metazoa; Chordata; Crocodylia; Alligatoridae. The record is from RefSeq and is a predicted model, not a curated record.
GUAGGCACUCUUGCCCCGCGGCGGGGACCCCCCUCCUCCUCUCCCUGUCGCCCCCGAGGGCAGCGGUGCGAGGGAGCAGGAGCCACCCCGGCCCGCGGGGCCAAGGACUUGCUGACCCAGCCGCAGCAUCCUCCUCCGGCGAGCGCUGCAGGGGGAAGUUCCUACUGCCCAGCUUCCAUUUUGGUGCAGGCUGCCGUGGUAUCUUUUAAUUGUUCAUAUCCAGGAUAGAGCAAACAAUGGGGAGAAAACUAGAUCUUUCUGGCUUGACUGAGGAGGAAGCAGAACACGUACUUCAGGUGGUCCAAAGAGAUUUCAGCCUUCGGAAGAAAGAAGAAGAAAGGCUGAGGUGUUAAUGAUCAUCCCGCAUUUUGAUGGUCUUGAUGUUCCACUGAUCAAGAUAACCUUUCUUCUGGCAACUUUUCUGUUUGCUAGCUACUCCUGGUCUCUCUCCAGGACUAUAUUCUUUUUCAAAAUAGUACAUCCACCAAUGGAGACCAUCCACCCAUGGAGAGCAGUCUUCAGCAGCAGAUGGAGUUUCAGAAAAAAGAUUAAACAGGAGAGGGAAGGUGAUUGAGCUGAAGAUUAGGUUUUUUUUUUCUCUUUGCAGCCUUAACUCGGGCUGGUGGGGAAUCUAUUUUGUCUUUAUUUUGUCUUCCCAAAAGUAAGGUGUUUUUUUUACUUGGGGACAUGUGGUAUGUGUGAAACUGUGAUAUUAAUGAAUUAGUUAUCUGAGUCUCUUCAAGUAUGUGUAAUUUUAUGUGCAACUUGGAUCAGGAAACAAGUGUGUCAUUCACUUUAUUAUUAUUAGUAUGAUUAUUAUGAUGAUGAUGAUUAUUAUUAUUUUACAAUAUCUGCAACAGUCAUCAGUUGUGGAGCUCAAUUUGUGAACCUCUUAACACUCUGAAUAGUUCCAACUGAAGUCAGUAGUAGUGAAUAGGAUUGUUUGCAACCAAGGUCUGUAAAACCAAGACUGAACUAUUUACUUUGGACCUAUGGAUAUCCCUUUGUUGGGAAAAGGGAGAAAUCCAAAAAUUUGAUAUUGCUUAUCUCAAAUGCUCAAAAAUCAUGCAAUUGAAAAAGAACCAAGAGUUUAUUUUUAUUUGUCUUCCUAAUAUCAAGACUUUAGGAUAUAUUAGGAUUACAUAACCACGGGGGCUAGAAAUCUGUGUUAUUUAUAACUCCUGAGGUUCUCACUUAAUCAUUUGUGCCCAAUCAUGUCUGUAACUCGAAAUAAAAUCAAGAGAACCGAUCAUGUUGCCAAUUCUUAUAAGUUAUAGGUUUGGAGAACCAUAUUUUUUUACAAAUUCUAUAUCUGGAACCCAUUAGAAAUUUAACAAAUACAUACUGUAUUUACUCAAAUCUAAGUUGACCCUGAGUUUAAGACAAUCCCCCAAUAAUUAGAUUCUAUAUAUGAAAAAUUGAUAUAAAAGGUUAUAAUUUUCUAAGUAUAGAAUCUAAUUAUCAGAGGGUUGUCUUAAAUUAUUCCCUUCACCACUUGUACAGCAAGGAAAGCAGUGGCUGGGGGUGUCAGCCCCUUGCCCUCUGUCCCCCUCACUUCUUCCCCUUGCAGCAUUCCUACUAUCCCCACCACUGGCACCCAGCACCCCCAUAAUCUCUGCCCCUUGCCCUCCCCAUCUCCUUCUGUCCCAUGCUGCUUGUUCCCUCCCUGAGCACAGCACAUGGGAGUGUAGUCCCUGCUGUCCAUGCAGCAAUCUAGCAGUGCUGAUUGUCCAGGCAGGGGCCAUUCAGUUGUCAGAACUGCUGAUUGACUGGGCAGGGGACAGAGUGUGCUCAGGAGGGAACCUAACCCAAGACAGAGCUGAGCUGUGCCUGACAGUAAUGGGUGGGGAAGGGGUGGGGCGUUGGGUGGGCAGGACAGAAGCUGCAGAGGGUAAGUGCGGGGGUGGGCAUAAGAUUACUAUGGGCUCAGGGCCAGAGUCAGAACCACAGCAGUCACCCUCCCCCCUCUUACCCUCCUCCUUUGUACAUGAAUCUAAGAUGGGGGGCCCCACCCAUGUUGGGGUAUCUUGUUUUAGAUUUGAGUAAAUAUGGUAAUUUAUUUCUAAUUUUGAUAUUUACAUCAUGGAGUGAAAGUCUGAAAUUGGCAGGUGUGAUUUAGAUCAUAAUGGGUGUGUAUUAUAUUGGAGCUGUUCUAAAGAUAAAUAGGACUGAGCUUUCAAGGGCAUUCAGUCUAUAACCUUUCAUAAGCACUUCACUGGGGAAAAUAAAAAGAUAAUGAAAAUUUCUUAUUUCAUAUUUUCUCGUGUUCUUGAAUAACUCAAUAUUUAUUGUGUUGUUUUUCAUUCUUUUACUUACUGAUUAACAGGGAUCUUAGAAAACAGAAAGCCAUGGGUUUCCCCUUUUUAUCAGAGAAAACAUGGAUUUCUCCUUUUAGCAGAGAAACCCACAGAUUCCCAGCUUUUGCAAAGAGCUCUACAGGCUGGUUGAGCUCCAGCCUGCAAGAGCUGUUUGCAGACAGAGUGGGAAACCCCCAGCCCUGGCCAGAGGGGAAGGGGGAGGGGGGAAGGCAAGGCCUGAGGCGCUCAGUCAGCUAUGGCUCGGCUUAGCUCAGCUUCACUCUUUGCUCCUGAGGUAAAUUGGACUUGCAGGGGGCUUGGGGCUCCUCUGGCAGGGCUGGUGGGGUUGUGGGUCAUGGCUGAGGGGCACUGGCAGGGUAGUGGGGGGCCAGGAGCCCACCCCACCUCCACCCAAGCAGGCAGAGGAGUGGGGGAGCCGGCUCCAUGCUGCUUCUGCUGUAGCUGCUUGCUGUUGGGGACAGGGAGCUGCAGACUUGGGUCCCUGGCCCCAUAGCCCUGGCAGCUGCAGGCCCCCUCCAACAGGGCCAGGAUGCGGGGCUGUGGGUGGGGGCAAGAGGCAUGAGUAGGGUGGGAGGCUGUUGUGGGGGCAAUGAGGAGCACCAACAGGGUUGGGAUGGCUUUGGUGGUAAGUGAAGGGCACCAGAAGGGCUGUGGGAGGCA